RNA transcript from Mauremys reevesii (Reeves's turtle), 729 nucleotides. RefSeq lists it as uncharacterized. The record is from RefSeq and is a predicted model, not a curated record. NCBI's taxonomy places the organism in Eukaryota, Metazoa, Chordata, Testudines, Geoemydidae. The transcript is spliced from 3 exons.
CCAUCCCCCAUGAUACAGAAGAAAAGAGAAAAGAAGUGACCUCUCUUUGGUCACACAGCAAGUUCCAGGAUGGAGCGAGUAAAACGGAUGCUCAGGAGGAAGGCCGGGCAGGUGGCUCCAGAGCCAGCAGGAAACAUCAGCCAGCCGUCCCAGGAGGAGAGCGGCCCCUCUGUCCCUGCGGGCAGGGAAGAGGCUUGUGGCCAGGGUAAAGAGAGGCACUCCGUCGCAUGCUGGAGGAGGAGGAAGACACCAGCUCCCCUAGCUGACCCUGAGGCACCUUCUGGGCCGAAAUGGAGGUGGCCCCGGGUACAGCUAUGGAGGAAGGAGCCAGGAGAGGGCAGGAGCCGGGGAAGGCAGCUCUGGGGCUUCCUUCACAGGAAGCCAAGGAGCCAAGAGCUGCGCCCCAGGGCCCAGCAGGAGACGUCCACCACUCUGGCCAUGGAGGAGCCUCCCGCCGUUACCACUCUGGCCAUGGAGGAGCCUCCCGCCGUUACCACUCUGGCCAUGGAGGAGCCUCCCGCCAUUACCACCCUGGCAACUGCGGAGCCUCCUGCCAGUCCAGAACAGGAGUUGAGCAACUGUGCGACAAACACCAGCAGCUCCGCAUACUCCUGCGGGGCCAGCAGCUCCUCCGUGGGGUCUGGCAGCCCUGAGUUUGAAGGCUCCCUCUUUGGAGAGACCCCCAGUGCCUAGGUGUCAUGUGGUGAGGAGGAGGAGGAAGAAGAGGAG